Molecule: ribosomal RNA, 276 nt
Filed under: uncultured Prevotella sp.
Lineage: Bacteria; Pseudomonadati; Bacteroidota; Bacteroidia; Bacteroidales; Prevotellaceae
Description: partial 16S ribosomal RNA
Rfam family: Bacterial small subunit ribosomal RNA
Source: RNAcentral
CUUUCCUUGACGACGACUGGCGCACGGGUGAGUAACGCGUAUCCAACCUUCCCAUGACCACGGGAUAACCCGUUGAAAGACGGCCUAAUACCGUAUGACGUCGUUUGCCGACAUCGAAAGACGACCAAAGGUUUGGCGGUGAUGGAUGGGGAUGCGUCUGAUUAGCUUGUUGGCGGGGUAACGGCCCACCAAGGCGACGAUCAGUAGGGGUUCUGAGAGGAAGGUCCCCCACAUUGGAACUGAGACACGGUCCAAACUCCUACGGAGGCAGCAGCC